Non-coding RNA from Kogia breviceps (pygmy sperm whale), 1980 nucleotides. Lineage: Eukaryota; Metazoa; Chordata; Mammalia; Artiodactyla; Physeteridae. The record is from RefSeq and is a predicted model, not a curated record.
GGCCUUUCCCCCGGGCCACUGGGGGCCUGUUACCGGCAGUCGCCGCCCUGCCUUGACUGCCUGGGUGAAUCAGGUGCUAAUCGAAGCCUUGGUCUCUCAGGCUCCCCUGCCUGGGUUUUCUGAGUGCUACCGAUUUAGGCCGGGUGGGGGGAUUCCUACGGCCCUGCCGCACCCACGAAGAGCGAGAAGGCUCACCCGGUGGAGAAAGGUGGGCUCGGUGACUCAUCUCUGGGAUGACCUAACCUCCCGACCCUGGCGGAGCAGAUGUCCGGAUGUCAGACGUCAUACCGUGACUUUGGACGGCCAGUGUGUCCCCUUCAGAUUGUAAACUGGCUCUAGUAGUUGCAGGGAUAUGUUGAUACAAUUGCUUCCGGAAAGCCCCUUUCCUUGCUAAGCAGCACGGUAAUGUCUGCGUUGUGGCUCUGCCUGGAGUGGAAUACUUUCUAACCUGUAGCAGAAUUGUUCAUAACAACGAAGCAAAUGGGGCAGGAAGCUCUCGGCUUUGUGGUUAUUUUAUUCAAGCCAUGUAUGAAGCUUCUUUUUGGUAUAAAGUUCCAGGUGUGAAAUGUUGAAAAGGAGUAGCUGUCUCCCAUUACUGGACAGAGCCAGGCUGUCUUCAGCUGCUUCUAUGUGGCAGGACUUGGUCUCUCCUCAAUAGUUAUAGCAGCUGCUACUUUCCAGAAGAGAAGUAUUGGCUAAAGAAAAGUCAAUGUCAGUAUUUCUCCCUGAAGAAAAAUGCAUAUUGAUCUUCCCCAAAACAAAUCAAUAGUUGUGUUAGGUUCAAUUUGAAUAUUUUCCCUAGGAACUAUCUCAGAGUAACCACGAGAGCCUAAUAGAUUUUCCUUAUAAUAUUAAAUUGACGAGACAACAAUGCUUGAAAGAGUACUUAUUUCAAGGAGAAUGGACAGUUUCCUAAAAGCGGUUAGAUUUGCAUAAAGUGGAGGGUUUGGGCACAUAAAUGCUUUAAUUGAGCAUCCUCUUUCUUCUCUUAACCCCCCCUCACUGCCUACUGUCCCUCAGCCUAGUUACUGCCCCCCAGGUAACAUGGCCUUAGAUAUCCUUUUGCGACCCCAUUUCCAAGCAUUAAGGUGACAUUUUUAUUCAUUUGACCAACAUUUAUUGAAAACCUACUAGGUUCUAUGCAUCGUGCUAGAAGCUGAGGAUACAGAAAUAAAACCCAAACUGCCGCACACUUAACUCACAUGUAUUUAUAAGCUCAUUGGAAAUAGGGACUUACACAUGAAUAACUUCCAGGUAAUAUGGUAUACUCUGAGCUUGUAAAACUUGCUUUUUGGAACUUAGAUGAGGGCACUCAGACUGCCUUAGCUGGCUCUUCUUUUCUAUAAAACGAUGCAUCCUAUCUUAAUAAGGAAGAGGCGAUUAGGACACAGACACACACAGAGGGAAGACCUUAUGAGGACCCAGGGAGAAGACAGCUGUCUACACACCAAGGAGAGAGGCCUCAGGAGGAACCAACCCUGCUGACACCUUGGUCUUGGACUUCCAGCCUCCAGAACUGAGACACAAUAAUGUUCUGCUCUUAAAGGAAAUAACAGAUGUUGUCUGUCCAGCCUGUGGUACUUGGUUAUGGCAGCAGUUCUAGCAAACUAAUACAGAGAAGGAAGCAGCCACUGCCAGAACCAUGACUUUGUCAGGGAGGCCAUGGGGAAGAGAUACCCUAGCCUCUCUCUCCAACUGCUCUCUGAUUUCACUUAAAAAAUAAACCUACCUGGAGGCCAGCAAAGGAGCCCAAGUGAUUUGUUCCAUAUGUACACUCUCCCAGGGCACUUGCAGGACAGAGAAGGGUAAGAAUGGAUUUGGGGGGACAAAGAGAAAAUGAUCAGCAAAGACAUCUCAUCAAGUUUUGAAAAAUCAAGAAGGGCUCCGUGGAAGAGGUGGCUCUUGAACUGAGUGUGGAAUAAUAAAUGAGUUAAUAUGAAUAAAGUACUUAGAAGCUUACUUGUACCAUAACAUGAGUUG